UCAGGUUAGGAUGUGUCUGCUUGGUUGACCAGACCGACCAAAUAUCCUUAUUUUAUUAUUAUUUUAUUUAAAAGAUUGAAAGAAUGGGGGAGAGCAAUAAUAUCAUUUUCUACCCCUCUUAACUGUUGUCCCCCCUGCCACCUACUGUCUAUAUCUUCCCCCCCACCCAUGUACCCUCCAGACCUCCAGCCCUGCCCCCAGUACCCUCCCCCUGCUGUGAGCCCUGCACCCCUCCUCCCCCUCAUUUUCUAUCAAUGCAGUGGUCAUGGCUCCUGCUGGCCGUGGCAGCAUCAGCAUCAGUGUAAUUAGCCAUGGUCCAAGGGCAGCAGGAUGCUGCCUGCCAGACUCGACACCAGGGGUAUGCAGUGUCCCAGGUGAUAUUUAGAAAACUUUCAUGGGUAGAACUCACCGGGGACAAGCCAACAGGCCAGUGAAGAGUCACACACCAGUGGAUACUGAAAAAAACGUUUUUAUUCUUUUCACAUUUUUAUUUUUAUAUUGUAUGUGUGCAUGUGAAUGUUUUUGUAUAUAGUUAUAUAGUUAUUUUUGCUAAGAAGGACAAAAGUCUUGACCUUUUGUUUAUUUUUGUUACAUUUUGUAUUCAUUUUAUUUUAAU
This is a long non-coding RNA of Alligator sinensis (Chinese alligator), 616 nucleotides long. RefSeq lists it as uncharacterized. The record is from RefSeq and is a predicted model, not a curated record. Lineage: Eukaryota; Metazoa; Chordata; Crocodylia; Alligatoridae. The transcript is spliced from 3 exons.